GAGAUUUCUGUCCCUGUUAUGUCCCCAUUGUUUGUCACGUCCCGUCCUGUGUCACAGAUGGGUGCACAUAUUUGUGCCGGAGCUGCUCUGCCCCGCUGCGUAGCCUGGUGCGAUAGGACCAGUCCCGGGGACUUGAAAUUUGUAAGGUGGGGUGUAGUCAGGCUCUAGAUGGUAUUCCUAGAUUGACACAGGAUGUUUGGAGCUGUGAAGUUCUCCUGCAGCCCUUUGACUUGUCUUAACUUUCUUUCAGAUGCAGCAGGAUAAAAUCCAUGGCAGAGCAUCCCAUCCUGGAUUAGGGGGUUCCCCUGAGCAGGAAGUAAAGCCAGAUAUCAGCAGUCAGGUUGAAGAGGGCAAGGCAAUUGACUCUGAGUGUCAUCUGGGUCGCCUUUGGCAACAGCCAUGGAG
Molecule: long non-coding RNA, 405 nt
Organism: Motacilla alba alba
Lineage: Eukaryota; Metazoa; Chordata; Aves; Passeriformes; Motacillidae
Exons: 4
Source: RefSeq, a predicted model, not a curated record